This 460-nucleotide ribosomal RNA is filed under the name uncultured bacterium. RNAcentral describes it as "partial 16S ribosomal RNA". It matches the Rfam family "Bacterial small subunit ribosomal RNA", at positions 338 to 795 of the family's 1533-position model. The record is from RNAcentral.
CCUACGGGCGGCUGCAGUGAGGAAUAUUGGUCAAUGGACGAGAGUCUGAACCAGCCAAGUAGCGUGAAGGAUGACUGCCCUAUGGGUUGUAAACUUCUUUUAUAUGGGAAUAAAAUGUUCCACGUGUGGGAUUUUGUAUGUACCAUAUGAAUAAGGAUCGGCUAACUCCGUGCCAGCAGCAGCGGUAAUACGGAGGAUCCGAGCGUUAUCCGGAUUUAUUGGGUUUAAAGGGAGCGUAGGUGGAUUGUUAAGUCAGUUGUGAAAGUUUGCGGCUCAACCGUAAAAUUGCAGUUGAAACUGGCAGUCUUGAGUACAGUAGAGGUGGGUGGAAUUCGUGGUGUAGCGGUGAAAUGCUUAGAUAUCACGAAGAACUCCGAUUGCGAAGGCAGUUCACUGGACUGCAACUGACACUGAGGCUCGAAAGUGUGGGUAUCAAACAGGAUUAGAUACCCCUGUAGUC